RNAcentral lists this small nuclear RNA (237 nucleotides) under Peromyscus maniculatus bairdii (prairie deer mouse). RNAcentral's name for it is "7SK RNA (ENSPEMG00000007369.2)". It matches the Rfam family "7SK RNA". From Rfam's summary of the family: 7SK was discovered as an abundant small nuclear RNA in the mid-70s but a possible function has only recently been suggested. The record is from RNAcentral. Lineage: Eukaryota; Metazoa; Chordata; Mammalia; Rodentia; Cricetidae.
GGAUGUGAGGUCAUCCUGGCUGUAACAUGUAACCCACUGAUUUUGAGGGUGGAUUGGCUGAUUUUGCUGGUGAGGCUGGUGUCCCUCCCGUUCCUCCCUUACCACUCCAUGUGCAUUCUUCCUGACGCUGCAUACUCCUCCCUUGAUAGAUUAAGACAAUUCUUCCAUCAAGGGUACAUAAGCAGUUGUGCUCCAAAUGAGUGUGUAAGGCCCAUAUUUGGAGGGCUUCCUCAUUAU